This 1152-nucleotide ribosomal RNA is filed under the name Hamadaea tsunoensis DSM 44101. Its description in RNAcentral is "bacterial LSU rRNA". It matches the Rfam family "Bacterial large subunit ribosomal RNA", at positions 1437 to 2571 of the family's 2925-position model. Lineage: Bacteria; Bacillati; Actinomycetota; Actinomycetes; Micromonosporales; Micromonosporaceae. The record is from RNAcentral.
UUGGGAUCUUGGUGGGUAGUAGGUGAGCGAUGGGGUGACGCAGGAAGGUAGCUGAGCCCGGCCGGUGGUUGUGCCGGGGUAAGCGUGUAGCCCGUGGUGUAGGCAAAUCCGCACCACAUGAGGGUGAGACGUGAUGCCGAGCCGUUUCAGGUGAAGUCAGUGAUCCUAUGCUGCCGAGAAAAGCCUCUAGCGAGUUGUUAGCGGCCCGUACCCGAAACCGACACAGGUGGUCAGGUAGAGAAUACCGAGGCGACGGGCGAACUGUGGUUAAGGAACUCGGCAAAUUGCCCCCGUAACUUAGGGAGAAGGGGGGCCUCUGCUGGUGAUGGCACUUGCUGCUGGAGCUGGUGGGGGUCGCAGAGAGCAGGGGGAAGCGACUGUUUACUAAAAACACAGGUCCAUGCGAAGUCGUAAGACGCUGUAUAUGGACUGACGCCUGCCCGGUGCUGGAACGUUAAGGGGACCGGUUAGUCCGUGAGGGCGAAGCUGAGAACUUAAGCGCCAGUAAACGGCGGUGGUAACUAUAACCAUCCUAAGGUAGCGAAAUUCCUUGUCGGGUAAGUUCCGACCUGCACGAAUGGCGUAACGACUUCCCCACUGUCUCAACCACAGGCCCGGCGAAAUUGCAGUACGAGUAAAGAUGCUCGUUACGCGCGGCAGGACGGAAAGACCCCGGGACCUUUACUAUAGCUUGACAUUGGUAUCCGAAUUCGAUUGUGUAGGAUAGGUGGGAGCCUGUGAAGCUCGGACGCCAGUUCGGGUGGAGGCAACGUUGAAAUACCACUCUGUUGUGUUUGGGUAUCUAACUUCGGACCGUUAUCCGGUUCAGGGACAGUGUCUGGUGGGUAGUUUAACUGGGGCGGUUGCCUCCUAAAAGGUAACGGAGGCGCCCAAAGGUUCCCUCAGCCUGGUUGGCAAUCAGGUGUUGAGUGCAAGUGCACAAGGGAGCUUGACUGUGAGACUGACAGGUCGAGCAGGGACGAAAGUCGGGACUAGUGAUCCGGCACUGGCUUGUGGAAGCGGUGUCGCUCAACGGAUAAAAGGUACCCCGGGGAUAACAGGCUGAUCUUCCCCAAGAGUCCAUAUCGACGGGAUGGUUUGGCACCUCGAUGUCGGCUCGUCGCAUCCUGGGGCUGUAGCAGGUCCCAAGGG